This 57-nucleotide ribosomal RNA is filed under the name Megaselia scalaris. The record is from RNAcentral. Lineage: Eukaryota; Metazoa; Arthropoda; Insecta; Diptera; Phoridae.
GUUAACGACCAUACCACAAUGAACACACCGGUUCUCGUCCGAUCACCGAAGUUAAGC